Molecule: ribosomal RNA, 237 nt
Filed under: uncultured bacterium
Lineage: Bacteria
Description: partial 16S ribosomal RNA
Rfam family: Bacterial small subunit ribosomal RNA
Source: RNAcentral
CGGAUCUCUUAAAGCUGUUCUCAGUUCGGACUGCAGUCUGCAACUCGACUGCACGAAGCUGGAAUCGCUAGUAAUCGCGGAUCAGCACGCCGCGGUGAAUACGUUCCCGGGCCUUGUACACACCGCCCGUCGCACCAUGGAAGUCUGCAAUGCCCGAAGCCGGUGGCCUAACCACUUAUGUGGAAGGAGCCGUCUAAGGCAGGGCAGAUGACUGGGGUGAAGUCGUAACAAGGUAAC